UUAACGAUCAUCAAAUUGGCU
RNAcentral lists this microRNA (21 nucleotides) under Rosa chinensis. Its description in RNAcentral is "sRNA RchiOBHm_Chr6g0283755". Lineage: Eukaryota; Viridiplantae; Streptophyta; Magnoliopsida; Rosales; Rosaceae. The record is from RNAcentral.